Mus pahari (shrew mouse) is the source of this 831-nucleotide RNA transcript. It is a transcript of the gene named ARL14 effector protein pseudogene, with no coding region annotated. The record is from RefSeq and is a predicted model, not a curated record. The transcript has a single exon. Lineage: Eukaryota; Metazoa; Chordata; Mammalia; Rodentia; Muridae.
AUGGAUCUGUGUUCAGUUGGAGUCCAGCUUCGUACCACACACGACUGCCAUAAAACCUUUUAUACUCAGCACACAGAUUUCAAAACAUUGAAAGAGUUGUCAUCAAAAAUGACAGGUUUUGCUUCAGCUUAGAGCUGGAAUGGCACUUUCUGGGAAUAAUACAAUUUGUCUCCAUCAAGUAAAAAUGUAUAUUGACAGGUUUGAAGAGUUGCAGAAGUCAUUUGUGACCCGUUUAACUUACACAAGAAGUUAGCUCAAAAGAAUCUGCAUGUAAUUGACUCAGAUGAUGCCACUUUUAUGAUCACAAAGUUUGGGAGACAGCUUGUACCUGGUUGAAAGCUUUACCCAAAAUGUACUCAGAUCACGAAUGGAAGUGUGGAUGUUGAUUCAGAUGACCACCAGAGAUGGAAACCCGAGUCAGAUGGAAGGACUGCUAAAGCUCUGAGGUCACUACAGCUUACAAACCCAGGAAAGCAAACUGAAUUUGCUUCAGAAAGUGGUUAAAGUGAGAAAAGAAAGCUCACCAAAAAUUCAUGUGCUGCUUCCAACAGACAAAUUAUUCCAGCAAAGAGUAAGGUGUAUGACUUCCAGGGCCUGCUGAUUUUCAGUGACAUGAACAUCUGUGACUUCCUGGUUGAGGACUGCUUGGGAUGCUUCUAUGCCUGCCCCAUUUGUGGCUCUACCAAAUGUGGUGCCAAGUGCCACUGGGACUGCAAGUGUCUAUAUAAGCAGAUAGAGUUUGAAGAAGGAGAGAUAAUCCAUAAUAAAUAUGAUGGGAAAGCAUAUGGCCUGUUAUCUCCCUGUCAGCUAUAUGAUAUUUUACAAAAAUGA